GAGCACUGGGGCUCCUGGGUCUCCGAGAUCCGCCAUCCUCUUCUGAAGACUAGGAUCUGGCUGGGCUCGUACGAGACGGCGGAGGACGCGGCGCGGGCGUACGACGAGGCGGCGCGCCUCAUGAGCGGGCCCGCGGCGCGCACCAACUUCCCCUCCAGCGCCCCCGGCGGCGGCGGCCUGUCCCCUGCCCUGCGCGCCAAGGUGGAGAAAUGCUGCAUGCCGACGGCGAGGGGCGCCGAGAUGACCGUGGCGGCCAGUGCCAGAGGCUACGCCGCCCAGCGAAGCGUCGACGAGGAGGAGGAGUGCAUCGAGGAGAUGAUCAGGGAGCUCACCCACUACGGCUCUGUGGAGAUCGUCCUCUCCUCCGCCUGCUCCAGCAGUCCAGCUCCGUAA
This 393-nucleotide ribosomal RNA is filed under the name Triticum aestivum (bread wheat). RNAcentral's name for it is "partial small subunit ribosomal RNA". Lineage: Eukaryota; Viridiplantae; Streptophyta; Magnoliopsida; Poales; Poaceae. The record is from RNAcentral.